Molecule: ribosomal RNA, 760 nt
Filed under: uncultured archaeon
Lineage: Archaea
Description: bacterial SSU rRNA
Rfam family: Archaeal small subunit ribosomal RNA
Source: RNAcentral
GGAUAACUUACCCUUUAGGACUGGGAUAACUUUGGGAAACUGGGGAUAAUACUGGAUAUUAGGCUAUGCCUGGAAUGGUUUGCCUUUGAAAUGUUUUUUUUCGCCUAAGGAUAGGUCUGCGGCUGAUUAGGUCGUUGGUGGGGUAAUGGCCCACCAAGCCGAUGAUCGGUACGGGUUGUGAGAGCAAGGGCCCGGAGAUGGAACCUGAGACAAGGUUCCAGACCCUACGGGGUGCAGCAGGCGCGAAACCUCCGCAAUGUACGAAAGUGCGACGGGGGGAUCCCAAGUGUUAUGCUUUUUUGUAUGACUUUUCAUUAGUGUAAAAAGCUUUUAGAAUAAGAGCUGGGCAAGACCGGUGCCAGCCGCCGCGGUAACACCGGCAGCUCGAGUGGUAGCUGUUUUUAUUGGGCCUAAAGCGUUCGUAGCCGGUUUGAUAAGUCUUUGGUGAAAGCUUGUAGCUUAACUAUAAGAAUUGCUGGAGAUACUAUUAGACUUGAAGUCGGGAGAGGUUAGAGGUACUACCGGGGUAGGGGUGAAAUCCUAUAAUCCUGGGAGGACCACCUGUGGCGAAGGCGUCUAACUGGAACGAUCUUGACGGUGAGUAACGAAAGCCAGGGGCGCGAACCGGAUUAGAUACCCGGGUAGUCCUGGCCGUAAACGAUGUGGACUUGGUGUUGGAAUGGCUUUGAGUUGUUCCGGUGCCGAAGGGAAGCUGUUAAGUCCACCGCCUGGGAAGUACGGUCGCAAGACUGAAACUUAA